AGAGUUUGAUUAUGGCUCAGAUUAACGCUGGCGGCAGGCCUAACACAUGCAAGUCGAGCGGUCGCCUCGGUGACGAGCGGCGGACGGGUGAGUAACGCGUGGGAAUCUACCUGGUAGUGGGGGACAACAGUCGGAAACGACUGCUAAUACCGCAUACCCUUCGGGGGAAAGUGGGGUCUUCGGACCUCACGCUAUCAGAUGAGCCCGCGUCGGAUUAGCUUGUUGGUGAGGUAAAGGCUCACCAAGGCGAUGAUCCGUAGCUGGUCUGAGAGGAUGACCAGCCACACUGGGACUGAGACACGGCCCAGACUCCUACGGGAGGCAGCAGUGGGGAAUAUUGCACAAUGGGCGCAAGCCUGAUGCAGCCAUGCCGCGUGUAUGAGGUUCGUUGAGUACUUUCAGCAGUGUUAAUAGAGCUGCAGAAGAAGCACCGGCAACUCCGUGCCAGCAGCCGCGGUAAUACGGAGGGUGCGAGCGUUAAUCGGAAUUACUGGGCGUAAAGCGCAUGCAGGUGGUUUGUUAAGUCAGAUGUGAAAGCCCGGGGCUCAACCUCGGAAUUGCAUUUGAAACUGGCAGGCUAGAGUACUGUAGAGGGGGGUAGAAUUUCAGGUGUAGCGGUGAAAUGCGUAGAGAUCUGAAGGAAUACCGGUGGCGAAGGCGGCCCCCUGGACAAUACUGACACUCAGAUGCGAAAGCGUGGGGAGCAAACAGGAUUAGAUACCCUGGUAGUCCACGCCGUAAACGAUGUCUACUUGGAGGUUGUGGCCUUGAGCCGUGGCUUUCGGAGCUAACGCGUUAAGUAGACCGCCUGGGGAGUACGAUCGCAAGAUUAAAACUCAAAUGAAUUGACGGGGGCCCGCACAAGCGGUGGAGCAUGUGGUUUAAUUCGAUGCAACGCGAAGAACCUUACCUACUCCAUCCAGAGAACUUAGCAGAGAUGCUUUGGUUCGCUCUGGAAGGUGCUGCAUGGCUGUCGUCAGCUCGUGUUGUGAAAUGUUGGGUUAAGUCCCGCAACGAGCGCAACCCUUAUCCUUGUUUGCCAGCGAGUAAUGUCGGGAACUCCAGGGAGACUGCCGGUGAUAAACCGGAGGAAGGUGGGGACGACGUCAAGUCAUCAUGGCCCUUACGAGUAGGGCUACACACGUGCUACAAUGGCGCAUACAGAGGGCGGCCAACUUGCGAAAGUGAGCGAUCCCAAAAAGUGCGUCGUAGUCCGGAUCGGAGUCUGCAACUCGACUCCGUGAAGCUGGAUUCGCUAGUAAUCGCGCAUCAGCACGGCGCGGUGAAUACGUUCCCGGGCCUUGCACACACC
RNAcentral lists this ribosomal RNA (1312 nucleotides) under uncultured Vibrio sp. RNAcentral describes it as "16S ribosomal RNA". It matches the Rfam family "Bacterial small subunit ribosomal RNA". The record is from RNAcentral. Lineage: Bacteria; Pseudomonadati; Pseudomonadota; Gammaproteobacteria; Vibrionales; Vibrionaceae.